Molecule: ribosomal RNA, 989 nt
Filed under: uncultured Methanosarcinales archaeon
Lineage: Archaea; Methanobacteriati; Methanobacteriota; Methanomicrobia; Methanosarcinales
Description: bacterial SSU rRNA
Rfam family: Archaeal small subunit ribosomal RNA
Source: RNAcentral
GNNNNNGACNNCNNNGNGACUGCUAGUACACGUGGACACCUGCCCUUAGGUUGGGUAUAAACCCGGGAAACUGGGUAUAAUACCCGAUAGGUCUCGAUUGCUGGAAUGCAUCGAGAUUUAAAGCUCCGGCGCCUAAGGAUGGGUCUGCGGCCUAUCAGGUAGUAGUGGGUGUAGCGUACCUACUAGCCUACGACGGGUACGGGUUGUGAGAGCAAGAGCCCGGAGAUGGAUUCUGAGACACGAAUCCAGGCCCUACGGGGUGCAGCAGGCGCGAAAACUUUACAAUGCUGGCAACAGCGAUAAGGGAACCUCGAGUGCCAGGUUACAAAUCUGGCUGUCGAGAUGCCUAAAAAGCAUUUCAUAGCAAGGGCCGGGCAAGACCGGUGCCAGCCGCCGCGGUAACACCGGCGGCUCGAGUGGUAACCGUUAUUAUUGGGUCUAAAGGGUCUGUAGCCGGCCGGAUAAGUCUCUUGAGAAAUCUGGCAGCUUAACUGUCAGGCUUUCAGGAGAUACUGUCUGGCUCGAGGCCGGGAGAGGUGAGAGGUACUUCAGGGGUAGGGGUGAAAUCUUGUAAUCCUUGAAGGACCACCAGUGGCGAAGGCGUCUCACCAGAACGGACCUGACGGCAAGGGACGAAAGCUAGGGGCACGAACCGGAUUAGAUACCCGGGUAGUCCUAGCCGUAAACGAUACUCGCUAGGUGUCGGCCACGGUGCGACCGUUGUCGGUGCCGUAGGGAAGCCGUGAAGCGAGCCACCUGGGAAGUACGGCCGCAAGGCUGAAACUUAAAGGAAUUGGCGGGGGAGCACCACAACGGGUGGAGCUUGCGGUUUAAUUGGAUUCAACGCCGGAAAAUCUUACCGGCNACCGACAGCAAUAUGAAGGCCAGGCUGAAGACUUUGCCGGAUUAUCUGAAAGGUGGUGCAUGGGCCGUCGUCCAGUUCGUACUGGUGAAGCAUUCCUGUUAAUUCAGCCACNAGCGAAAACCCC